This is an RNA transcript of Sesamum indicum (sesame), 3824 nucleotides long. It is a transcript of the gene named cyclin-dependent kinase G-2, with no coding region annotated. NCBI's taxonomy places the organism in Eukaryota, Viridiplantae, Streptophyta, Magnoliopsida, Lamiales, Pedaliaceae. The record is from RefSeq and is a predicted model, not a curated record.
CUAAUAAUUAGACUCUCUUUCAACGCGGUGGCGACUGCUCUUUCUUUCUUAGCCGCCUUACUUUAUCUCUGUAGAAGAAGCUAACAGGCGCCGCCUUGCGCUCUCUCUCUCUCUCUCUACACUGUGCUCCGAUUGUUUUAUCGGUAAGGUUUUUGAUUUUUGAGUUCUUCACUCGCUGUGCGGAGUAGUGGGGAAGAUUCUCAACUAUUUAUUUUUCUAGGGUUUUCUGUUCCUUUCGGCAAUUCUUUUGUUCGGGUUCUGGGGUUUGUUAUUGUUCUUUGUUCUUGUUUCUUGAGAAAUAUAAAAAAGAGAGAGAGAGUUAUUGAUUGGUCACACGUGUUUGGAUUUGGUGCUGUGUCAGAUCUGUGUUUUGAAUUCGGAUAGGAAGAAAUUGAUUUCUGUUGCGUGUAGUUUCGGGUAUCUUUUUUGUUUCAUAUAACUUUGUCAACUUUUGGGGGAUUGAUUGAGACUCGUGGAGUUGGGUUAGGGAUUUUCUGUUCGAAAAGGAAUUUAGGCGAGUCCUUUGUCUGGUUAGGGUUUGAUAUUGCAACCUUACGAAGUCGAAGGAUUACACAUUUAUGGCUGCUGGAAGACAUGGGGUUUAUAGAGAUAAUGAGUUUAGGGACCGUGAGACUGAUUUUGGGAUGACAAAGAAGGAGAAUGGGCAUGCGAAAAGGGACGACGGACAUGUUAGAAAUGGGGUUCCGGAUUACGAGAGGGGCCAGGGUCGCGAUAGUCUGGAAUAUAAGGGUAGGAUCAGACAGAAGGAUAUUAAAGAAAGAGAGGUGAUAAAUGGUGGAUAUCAUGCUACUACUAGCCGCAGUGAUUCUGGAAGUAGUGGUGGUGGGCCGAAGAGGUGUGAGCUUGCUGCACGUGCCAUAGAUCGAGAGCCCGGGGAGCUCUCCAGUGAUGGAUCUGACGAGGCUGUCGAUUCGGAAGCCCAGGUUAAUGAAGAUGCUGAGGUUAAAAAGAUGGAAAAUUUAAACCACUUAUCUCCGUUGCAGAAUAAAAAGCGGAAGUUCUCACCAAUUGUGUGGGAUAGAGACAAUAGGAACAUAAGUAGAUCAAUCAAAAGUAGCAGUGCUUCUGAUACUGUUACUUUACCUCCAUCACCACCAAUGAUCAAGUCUUAUCGCCAGUCACCUAUCCCAAAACCGAGUCCUGAUGGGAAUGUACAGACCUUACCCAAUGUCUCAAAUGAGGUUAAGUUAGAAGCAUCACCACCUAAAGUCAACUUAAGACCCAAUUUGUCAGAAUUCCCUGCUGAAACGUCCUCUCUGCAUCCUGAGGAAGAGCAAUCGGUUAAAAACACGGAACCAGGGACAAUUGAUGAUGAUGAUUAUGUACCUACACGAACCAUAAUAUCCUCUCGUUGGGCUAACGAUGCUGAGUCCCCAGCUGAUGAAGGUGAGAUUUCUGAUUAUGAAGAUAUCCCAAAAUUGCAUAGGAAGCCUGGUUUGGGGUUAGCCGAAGUAAGAGGCCAUAGUAAAUCAAUAAGUCCAGAAGUGGGGGAGGUCAAAAGGGAAGGGUCUGAUGGUGCUAGGGGGCAGUCCUCUGCGUCAGAUGAACGUGUAAGGUCCUCCAGUAGAGAUAGUUAUCAUGACAGUGAUGACCAUAAUGAGUACAUGGAGAUAGAUGAUGAUCGCAAUUAUGAUGGUGCUAGUGUUAGCAAGUCGGAAACAGAGUCCGAGGACGGUCAUGGCUCUCAUGGUACUCCAGAGCCAGCGCAACUCCCACAGAGGAGUGUUAAUAUGCUCCAAGGUUGCAGAAGUGUUGAUGAGUUUGAGAGACUCAACAAGAUUGAUGAAGGGACUUAUGGGGUUGUGUACAGAGCCAGGGAUAAGAAGACUGGGGAAAUUGUUGCUUUGAAGAAGGUCAAGAUGGAGAAAGAGAGAGAAGGGUUUCCUUUGACUUCGCUCCGAGAAAUAAACAUUCUUCUAUCUUUUGAUCAUCCCUCUAUUGUGGAUGUCAAAGAAGUAGUUGUGGGAAGCAAUCUUGACAGCAUCUUUAUGGUCAUGGAGUAUAUGGAACAUGAUCUUAAGGCAUUGAUGGAGACUAUGAAACAGCCGUUUAGUCAAAGUGAAGUGAAAUGUCUCAUGCUCCAGCUUUUAGCGGGUGUCAAAUAUCUACAUGACAAUUGGGUGCUUCACCGAGAUCUGAAAACUUCAAAUUUGCUUUUAAAUAACCGUGGUGAGUUGAAGAUCUGUGACUUUGGUCUGGCUCGUCAAUAUGGGAGCCCAUUGAAACCAUAUACUCAUUUGGUGGUCACUCUGUGGUACAGGGCACCCGAACUUCUUUUGGGAGCCAAACAAUAUUCUACCGCAAUUGAUAUGUGGUCCCUUGGAUGCAUUAUGGCUGAGCUAUUAUCAAAAGAGCCAUUGUUCAAUGGGAAGACAGAGUUUGAUCAGCUGGACAAGAUAUUUAGAAUCCUUGGUACUCCGAACGAGGCAAUUUGGCCUGGUUUUUCCAAACUCCCUGGAGUAAAGGUGAACUUCGUCAAGCAUCAGUACAAUCUAUUGCGUAGGAAAUUUCCAGCGACAUCAUUUACUGGUACACCUGUGCUUUCUGAUGCCGGAUUUGAUCUUUUGAACAAGCUUCUAACUUAUGACCCUGAAAAGCGGAUAACCGCUGAAGUGGCUCUUAACCAUGAAUGGUUCCGUGAAGUUCCACUCCCCAAGUCUAAGGAGUUUAUGCCUACUUUUCCUGCACACCAUGCACAAGACAGGCGUAUACGAAGAGUAAUGAAGAGUCCAGACCCAUUAGAAGAGCAAAGGAGGAAGGAGUUGCAGCAAGGGGAAUUAGGCACUGGUGGUCUUUUCGGCCAAUAGCAUCCAGAACUAUUUUCUUUGGAUUCUGUACUAUCUGAUACAUACAGAUCUAGGUGAGAGCUAAGGCCAGAAGGAAGUUGAAAAAAUUGCUUGUGGGAGUAUCAAAUCAUGUUUUUUUAUAGCAGGCACCUUUGAUGAAUUAGGUGGACAACAUUCCGUGCUCUAUUCUUGGGGUUGCCGACAGUAGGAAUGCAUCUCCAAUACUUCUUGCCCGAAAAGAGAUGGUGUGUAAACCGGAGGAGACAUUCUUACCCUUUCACUGCGAAGAAUUUUGCUGAGGUAUAGCACCCAGGAGGUUUAUCUUCGAGAACAAAGAGGCAGGGGGUACUGGUUGACUGAAUAUGACCAUCUGCUAUGCUCUUCUGAUUAACAGGCAGCUCUUUUGGAGUAGAACGAGCAGUUUUUCAUGCAAUGUGCAGGUGAUAAGUUUUGGUGCAUUAUGUGCCGACUAGUAUGAGGUAUGGUGACUGUAGGUAUAUGAUCGUGCUAGCGAGAGCUUGGGUUUGGAGAUUAGAGGAAAUUGCUUUGUGAGUAUCCUUGAUCUGAUUGUAUUGCCCUGGCUCGGUUGAGUUAUUCUUGAUGUUUGAAGAGGCAGUAAUUUAAUUGGGGAAAGAUGGACAAGAGUUGCUGGUUACCUGAAAGUGACAGGACACCUGACCUAUAUUGGUAUUUCUGACCCUGUUCUUGGUGAAUGAUGAUAUGCUUUAGAAAGGCAUUUGGCAGUAAAGCUCUAGAGAUUCGGGUGAUCUACUGUUCAGUUGCAGUGGAAGGAGGCUUGGUGUUCACCUUGCUCGAAGCUAAGUGGGUGCUGAGGAGGCGCUUCUGUUUAUCAAGCUUCUCUUUUCCAUCAUUUUCACAAUAUUCUAAUCAGUUUUCUGUCUCUGUUACACAUGCGCGUAGUAUUGUAUACAGCUGUUCGUUUUACACAUUUUUAAACUUUAGUUUAAAAUACAUGUAAUCUUUUGAUAAUUAACAGAGAUGAUUUACUCUACCAAA